Molecule: RNA transcript, 5159 nt
Organism: Medicago truncatula (barrel medic)
Lineage: Eukaryota; Viridiplantae; Streptophyta; Magnoliopsida; Fabales; Fabaceae
Gene name: putative F-box/FBD/LRR-repeat protein At1g78760
Exons: 6
Source: RefSeq, a predicted model, not a curated record
AUCCCUUCAUUCAUAAAUUCAUCCAAAAAUUCUAACACACGUAUCUCCAACCCAAACCCCUUUUGUUCAACCAUACCAGAUUCAUCAACGCCCAGAUUCGUUCAUCAUCACCAUCACUGCGUUUUGUUUUCCCUAACUGAAACAACAACAAUGGUGAUUCGAUUAAAAAGCUAUGUUCUUUGAAAAUGUUACAUUUUUGAACUCAUUUGUUUGAUAUUUUGAUUGAAAAACAUUGAUUCAUAUAUUGGUGUAAUCGUUUUGUCCCAGAAAGCAUGGAUUUGUCAUUCCUCCAUCCACUGCAGGUUAAUGUUUCGAGAUAAAAUGAAGAGAAGAAGUCGCUCUGAAAACGAAGAAAGUGAAGAUAGACUAAGUGACUUACCCGACUGCAUUCUUAUUUACAUUUUGUCAUUUUUGAAAACCGAAAACGCCGUUCAAACUUGCAUUUUGUCCACCAGAUGGAAACAUCUCUGGAAACGUAUUCCUAAACUUUUGUUGCGUUCCUCAACUUUAUUCUGUUUGGAGGACGAGAAAUUUUUGACAUUCGUGUCUAAGAUUUUGACUCUUCGUGAUAACUCAGCUGCACUGCAUAUUCUUGAUUUUGAGUGUGAUACUGAUCACGAGUCUGAACUGGUCCCAAAAAUUUUAAAUUACGUUCGUUCCCAUAAUACCCAAAUCCAACAAUUAGGAAUCUCUAUUACUCGUGAUAGUGAUCUCCUUAUGCCAUGUGUGUCUUCAUGUCUGGCUCUUACAUCUCUGAUGCUUUCGGUUUACCACAUCCGUCAUGUUGUUUAUCCUGAGACAAUAAUAUUUCCGAAAUCUCUGAAUUUGCCAGCGUUAACUAGCUUGGGUCUAGUUGGUUUUACCUUCUGCGGUGAUGAAAAUGGUUGUGCUGAGCCCUUUUCUGCCUUUACCAAGUUGAAUAACUUGCUCAUUAAGGAUUGUAUUAUUAAGGAUGCACAAAUCCUCAGGAUAUCAAGUAAGACACUAGACAGUUUAUCUAUGAGUUAUAAUUUAUUCGACUUCAACAAAAUCGAGCUAGCUGCUCCGAAUCUUUGUACCUUUACUUUUUGUGGUACUCUUGAUCAGAAAAUAUAUGCGAGUGGAUUUUCUUCUGUUAAAGAAGUAAACAAUGGUACUCCUGAUCAGAAAAUAUAUGGGAGUGGAUUUUCUUCUGUUAAAGAAGUAAACAUUGAUGCAAAAAUGUUUUCAGAAUUCGACAAGUCUCCUAUGAUUCUAUUAUGCUGGCUGCUAGACCUUGCUAACUUAGAAUCAUUAACAGUCACUUCAAAAACUCUUCAGAUUCUCUCCUUAGUUCCCAAUUUAUUGGAGGUUAAGCUUCCUUCUUUGAGUAACUUGAAGUCGAUGGAAAUAAAAUUGGAGCCACUUGAAGAUCACACAAAAUUAUUGUACUUAGUGAAAGAAGCCAUGUUAAAGAAAGCUGCUGCCAAGUCACGCAAAGAAGCUUCCAAGCUACGAAAAGCAUUUAAAGCGGGUUUGCGACCACCUUCCGUACCUGAUGGAAUAGUGGACUUCUUGCUUCAAAACUCACCGUCUGCCAAAGUUAACAUCACAUCAGAUUAUUAGCGCUCGAUGAAGAGUUUAUCUAACGUAAUGGCCAUUUUUCUUUGCUGCAUGAAAUGGGUGAAUUGAUGACUAGACAUCUGCUGUUUAUGGUUGAAAUGUUUGAUAGCUGUGACUACUCAGCCAUUGACCGAGAUAAGAAAUGUUUGUCUAAGUUUGUUUAGUUAGUCAGGUUCAAGCAUCCAUCAAGCAGGAGCAACUUCUUUGUCUAAUGUUUUCAGUCUGAAUAGCAACUUGUUUGGGAUACCAUCCAUUGAGUAAACUUAGGCACAACUACUGAUACUGAAGUAAUUACAUGAUCACAUUUUUUUUGGAUGCUCAGAGGUAUGAAACAAUUUAAAGCACUACUAGUCUUCCCUUCACAAAUCAAAAAGGACCGAAAAUAUUUACAAGUGACAACAGUUAUGAGAAGUUUUCACCUAUUGAAUGAGGUUAAAUAUUUUAUCAGUCUUGCUUUUUUUUUUUUUUUGAACAAGCAUGGCUUUGGUUUCUUUAUAAUAAAUAUGGAGAACUAAUUUUAUUCCUUGUUUGUGUUAUCCCUUCAAGCUUCAAGUGGAUAUUAAAGAACAAAUGAUUAACGCAAGGAAAACAAUGACAUUCAACAGCUUUUAUUUAUUUUUUCUCUAAUUUUCCUUCAUUUAUAAAUUUAAAAGUAAAAUCAAUGAACACAUUUUUUUCUCCUUUUGAAUAACAAUUGUUAGUAAUAACUAAUAAGUUUGUUAGAUUUAUUUUACCCAUUCGUUCAAGUUUAAACCCAAUAUCUAUAAUCUCUCUUUGCUUAACUCAAACCAGUUGAACUAUCUAACCCCAAAUAAUUAAUAAAUUAAAAUUGAAAUGAGUCGGACCGACCCAUCACUUGGGUUGGGUCGGGUACAUGAAUGUGUAUACUAUAUUUUUUUGAAGGAAUUAAUGUGUAUACUACUACUCCCCCUGUCUCAAAUCGUAUGACGUUUUAAAUAUUUACCACAUAUUAAGAAAUAUAAUUAAUUUUGUGUGGGAAAGAAAUAUUAUAAGUUGUUUUACAAAAUUAUCCUUAAUAAAUGGUACGAGAAAGAUAAAUUAAAGAAUUGAAAAAAAAAAGUAAUAAAUAGUUAAGAAUAUAAUAGAAAAAGUAAUAUUAAUGUUUCGUAUUGUAAAGCGAUAUAUAAUUUGAGAUGAUUUUUUUUUCUUCGUAUAAUUUGGGACGAAGGGAGUAUUGUGUUUGUGUAGUCUAAUUUUAAAUCAAUCAAUAAAUUUGACCAUUUGAGAGCUCUAAUUCGCUCUAUCUUUGGGGCACUAAAGAGAUUAACUCUUUCUUAAAUCUUAAUUCUACAAAUAAUUUUAUUUUCUUCAUAUAAAUAUAAAAUACCACGAUAUUGCAAACACACAAAAGGAACUAACCACCGCAGAUGUCACAGACUCACAGCUCAACAACGAGGUAUUUCUCAUUCCUCCAUUCAAUUUCAUGUUUAUACCUUUUCUCUAAAUUAACAAAUUAAUCAUUUUUUACGUUUUUAUUUUUAUUUUUAUUUUUUAUUAUUACCCUCUUAGAACUAGGGUUCACAUGUGCAUAUUCAAGCUUAUUUUGAAACGAAAUUGAUCAGAUUUAUACUGUUUAUAUGAUUGCAAGUAAGUAAUCAUGUUUGGUGUUUCUGUCAAAAAAAAAAAAUCAUGUUUGGUGUUAUAUAAACAUUUUUUGGACCGGUCACAUCAAUUUUAAAUGGUAACGGCAACGAUAAGGUAAUCAUGUUUUAACGAAGUUGAAUGAAAAUGGUAACAAUGUAAAUAGUUUAUGACUUACUCGAAGGACUAAUUUGCAAAAAGAAAAGAAUUAAAAGACUAAUUUGUUACAAACAUCCAUCUUACUUAAAGGACCACAUGAGUUAUUCAAAGAAAACUGUUCUAGGUUUUCUUUCCCCAGUUUUAUAAUUGCUCAUUUUCUUGUUAUGUUAUAUUGAAUGUAAUUCCAUAUAUCUAUCUUGUUCCUUUUUUUAGCUUAAUGAUUCGAGAAAAGAUGAAGAGAAGAAGUCACUCCGAAAACGAAGAAAGUGAAGACAGACUAAGUGACUUACCCGACUGCCUUCUUGUUUACAUUUUGUCAUUUUUGAGAAUCGAAUACGCUGUUCGAACUUGCAUUUUGUCCACCAGAUGGAAACAUCUUUGGAAACGUAUUCCAGAACUUUUUUUGCAUUCCUCAACUUUAUUCCGUGGAAAAGAAAAGCAAUUUUUCACAUUCGUGUCUAAGAUUUUGACUCUUCGUGAUAACUCAGCUGCAUUGCACAUUCUUGAUUUUGAGUGCGAUAGCGAUUACGAGUCUGAACUGGUCCAAAAAAUUUUAAAUUACGCGUGUUCCCAUAAUACACAAAUCCAACAAUUAGGAAUCUCUAUUUCUCAUGAUAGUGAUCUCCUUAUGCCAUGUGUGUCCUCAUGUCAGGCUCUUACAUCUCUGACGCUUUCGAUUUACAAUGGUUGCAUUUUUCCUGAUACAUUUCCGAAAUAUCUGAAUAUGCCAGCGUUAACCAGCUUGGAUCUAACUGGUUUCACCUUCUGCGGUGAUGAAAACCGUUGUGCUGAGCCCUUUUCAGCCUUUACCAAGUUGAAUAGCUUGAUCAUUAGUCGUUGUAUGGUUAAGGAUGCACAAAUCCUCCGGAUAUCAAGUGAGACACUAGACAAUUUAUAUUUGUAUAAGAAUUUAUUCAACUUUGACAAAAUCGAGCUAGCUGCUCCGAGUCUCUGCACCUUUACUUUUUAUGGUACUCCUAAACAGAAAAUAUGUGGGAGUGGAUUUUCUUCCGUUAAAGAAGUAAACAUUGAUGCACAUAUGUUUUCAAAAGUAGACAAGUCUCCUAUGAUUCUAUUCAGCUGGCUGCUAGACCUUGCUAACAUAGAAUCAUUAACAGUCUCUUCAAGUACUCUUCAGAUUCUCUCCUUAGUUCCUGAUUUAUUGGAGGUUAAGCUUCCUUCUUUGUGUAACUUGAAGUCGGUGGAAAUAAAAUUGGAACGGCUUGGAAUUCUCCCAUCAUUACUCCACUUCAUGUAUGAAGCCAAUCAAGCCAUGUUAAAGAAAGCUGCUGCAAAGUCACGCAAAGAAGCUUCCAAGUUACGAAAAGCAUUUAAAGCGGGUUUAGAACCACCUUCCAUACCUGAUGGAAUAGUGGACUUCUUGCUUCAAAACUCACCGUCAGCCAAAGUCAACAUCACAUCAGAUUAUUAGUGCUCGAUGAAGAGUUUAUCUAACGGUCAUUUUUCUUUGCUACAUGAAAUGGGUGAAGCUGCUGGUUACGGACUUAUGGUUGAAAUGGCACGUGGAUCAACUCCGAUUAUUUGAUAGCUGUGAGGAAGACGACAUUAUAACUUUUGCCCCAGCCAUUGACAGAGAUAAGAAAUGUUUGUCUAAGUUUGUUUAGUUAGGUUCAAGUAUCCAUCAAGUAAUAAGUAACUAUUUGUUUGGUAAAUUGUAAUAUUUUUAGAGCUGAUACCAUUCAUUCAGUAAACUUAGGCACAUCUACUAAUAUUGGUGAUGCAGAAUAAUGAAGUUUUGUGAUUUUGUUAAAAGCAAAUGACUAUUUCUGAUGCAGACACUGUGUCAUGAAGUCUAA